Molecule: small nucleolar RNA, 138 nt
Filed under: Ornithorhynchus anatinus (platypus)
Lineage: Eukaryota; Metazoa; Chordata; Mammalia; Monotremata; Ornithorhynchidae
Source: RNAcentral
CCCCUCUCAGGAUUACACCCGGAGAGUUUUCAGUACUCUACCAGUCUUGGCUAUGGGAGGGACAGUCAAGCAGAGGCCUACCCAUUCCAUUCUUAGCUUGGGCAGUGGCUAGCGAAUGGAAGGCAGUAUGCCACAAGU